UCUACCCACCCUACAAAAGAACCGACAUUCCCUCUUUUAUUAUUUUUUUCCAUUCUCAUUCCCUUUCUGCAUAUCCUUCUUUUUAGUUUCUUCUUUUCUCUAAAAUAUGUGAAAUUUCCACUGGCAUCGACGAGGACAUCUCACGACCCUGUCGCCGACAUCGACAAGUACAUCUCAUGACCCAAUCACCGGCAAACCGGCAAGAACGCCUACAAUCUAGCCACAAGCAAGAACGUCUCACGACUCGGCAAGAACUUCACGCGACCCAACCUCAAACCAGAACUCACGACCCAUCCGUCGCCAAGAACUCACAAGCUCAGUGUUCUCUUUUGUUCUCUCUAGUAUUUGAUUUGAUAUGGGGAAAGGCGCAUGUGUUUCGGACAAGAAAUGUUAGAAAGGUUAUAGAGACAAGAAAAUUCAAAUGAUGAUGAAACUCUCAAAGAUUAGCCCAACAACUCAACAACAAUCAUCUUGAGGAUCAAUUUACAAAUGUCAACUUGGCAAAUAUCCCAUUUAAGUAUGAUGUAGUUGAACCUUCACCAAGGCCAAAUGAAACUGAAUCACAACAUAAAAAGGAGCCAUUACUUAUCAAAGUUAAAGGAAAAGAUAUCAGAGAACUUGUCUCAAGAUCAAAAACGUGUUGCCACUGAAGGUGUUCCAUUAAAGAAUAAUACUUAUCCAAAUGAUGUUAUUGGAAAAGUGUAUGAAGCUCAUUCAAGUCGAGUGCGUGGAUCAGGUGUUUGCCCCAUGAGUGUUUUUUAAAACGCACAAACAUUUCACUCAAUUAGGCAAUGCCAGUAGCUUUAGUCAAAAAAUGUUGAGGACUUACAGAAGGAAGUGCACACUUUGGAAGAAAAUCUAAAUGGAUAUGAAGAGGCUAAUGAACAACUUUAACAAACACUAAAUCAACUUAAAGUUCUCCUUAAUUUUAUGCAAAGCAAAUUUGGUGAUGAGUUACCAACUUUCAUCCAAGAGUCAGGGGGACAUGAGGGAUAUUUGUGUCAAGUUCUACAAGUACUGAAGGAGCAUCAAUUGUAUGCAAAUCUAGGAAAAUGUUAAUUUUGAUUGGAAGAAGUGAAGCUUUUGAAGGUGCAAACACGAAAAGGAGAGGAGUUGAAUUGUAUUUCCCAACGUUGAUAACUUUUUUUCUAAUUUGAUGAAGGUUGGUUGGUUUUUA
This is a long non-coding RNA of Cicer arietinum (chickpea), 1177 nucleotides long. RefSeq lists it as uncharacterized. NCBI's taxonomy places the organism in Eukaryota, Viridiplantae, Streptophyta, Magnoliopsida, Fabales, Fabaceae. The record is from RefSeq and is a predicted model, not a curated record.